This 846-nucleotide long non-coding RNA is filed under the name Homo sapiens (human). RNAcentral's name for it is "HSALNT0204215". Lineage: Eukaryota; Metazoa; Chordata; Mammalia; Primates; Hominidae. The record is from RNAcentral.
CAGCCUCCCAAAGUGCUGGGAUUACAGGCGUGAGCCACCGUGCCUGGCCCAGGGGAAAAAUUUUCAACAGGAAGACCUCAGAUCUGAGACAAGAAGAAAUGGCUCAGGGAUAGGAAAACAGGCACAAACAUUUGAGGAGAGAGGGUUAGGGAACAGGCUGAGGGAAUUCUACCUAAGCUCUCCCUGCUUCCCCUUUUCCCUUUUCUGAGAAAGCUAAGAUGUUUGAAAAAACUAUAAAGGUCAUGGAGAAGAUGAGAGGGGACUCAUAAAAGAGAAAGAAAAGUGCUAUUGCUAAGCCAGCAGAGUGGCACAUGUGUAUAGUCCCAGCUACUCUGGAGUCUGAGGCAGGAACGAUUUCUUGAGGCCAAGAGCUUGAGUCCAGCUGGAGCAACAUAGCAAGAUCUCUGUCUCUUACGAAAAAAAAAAAAAAAAAAAAAGGUAGAAGAUAUGAUCAGCUAAACUACUUUUCACAGCCUCCAUGGCAGCUGAACACGAAACUCCUAGAAAGGCUUCUUAAGAGAAGCAUAGCCAGAUUGCAUGAACUCUUUUUUACUUUUGUCCCUUUCCCUUGCUUCUUACCUGGAACUCAGACAUGGUGGCUGGAGCUCCAGCAACCACCUUGGACCAUAAGAACACCUUAAAGAUAGAAGCAUGCUACAAAUUGCACAGUAGGAAUGUAAGAAGAGGCUGGGUCUCUGAUAAGUAUGGUACCACCCUAUGGGGUACAGAUCCAUUAACCCUCAAAUUUCUUUUACUUGAGACAAAAACAGUUAAAGAUCAUGUUAUUUUUGUUGUUUGUUACUAGCUACCAAUGUAAGUUCCAACAGAGGUACAGCUAUUAAUGGU